Molecule: ribosomal RNA, 253 nt
Filed under: uncultured bacterium
Lineage: Bacteria
Description: partial 16S ribosomal RNA
Rfam family: Bacterial small subunit ribosomal RNA
Source: RNAcentral
UACGGAGGGGGUUAGCGUUGUUCGGAAUGACUGGGCGUAAAGCGCGCGUAGGCGGAUCAGCAAGUCAGGGGUGAAAUCCCGGGGCUCAACCCCGGAACUGCCCUUGAGACUGUUGGUCUCGAGUUCGAGAGAGGUGGGUGGAAUUCCGAGUGUAGAGGCGAAAUUCGUAGAUAUUCGGAGGAACACCAGUGGCGAAGGCGGCCCACUGGCUCGACACUGACGCUGAGGCGCGAAAGCGCGGGGAGCAAACAGG